Long non-coding RNA from Phragmites australis (common reed), 789 nucleotides. RefSeq lists it as uncharacterized. NCBI's taxonomy places the organism in Eukaryota, Viridiplantae, Streptophyta, Magnoliopsida, Poales, Poaceae. The transcript has 2 exons. The record is from RefSeq and is a predicted model, not a curated record.
UCAGUGUCGGCACCCACACGACCCCUUCUAUCACGUCUUGGAGGGUCCGAGCAACAUGGUACGAAUUAUACUUUUGAAUAAUAUUGACCAAUAUCCUUUACUUAUUGUUAUUAAACAUUCAUUAGGUCCGUCUGCACAAGUCUCGAUGCAGCCUCGCAGAUCGAGCCCUGUGCGUCCACAGUCAGGUACUCCGGGAACCCUUCUUCCUAAUUUCUAAUACUUUCAGCAAAAUAACUUAGUACUGUGCUCAGGAUACUUCGGUGACGAGGCCGGUCCGUCUUCGGCGGCCCCACGCCCUACCCCGCUCGCAACGUACUACGGCACGUCAGCGUGGCCUUCUUCUGCUGCACCGUCGUACCACGUAGGCCCCUCCAGCCAGUACACAUGGACGCCUGCCGAGCCUUCACAGUCCUCCUACCCUAGUCAGGAGGAUGAGGCUGGCCCCGACACCGCAUACGACAUCGUCCGUGACUUCUUCGGGGGCACACCUGACUACAACGUCCUUCAGCGGUCCCAGGUUUCCAGUGCACCGCUUCGGACACAGCCCACGCACGACGAGCCCUCGACACCGGUGGUCCCUACUAGGCCUACCAGACACGUUGGCCCACCCGACCCCCUCACCUACUCCAGGGGUCACGUGAGGGUUAACCAGCGGCAUCGGGACCACGAUGGGGCGCACGGGCGACGGCAACGAGGGAGGCAUGAGUAGCAUUUUACAUUUUAUGUAACUAACAUAUGCAUAUUCGCUUCGUGAUGUACUCCUAUGUAUUAAGACACGUUUACUUUGUA